Molecule: long non-coding RNA, 1528 nt
Organism: Oncorhynchus tshawytscha (Chinook salmon)
Lineage: Eukaryota; Metazoa; Chordata; Actinopteri; Salmoniformes; Salmonidae
Exons: 5
Source: RefSeq, a predicted model, not a curated record
UAUUUAUGUAAAAAUGGUCAAAUAAGUGCCAUGAGAGAAACUAAGGCACCGGCUAAAGCUUUUUUGGCUCUGAAUCUGAAAGAGGAGCCUGAAUUCAAGACGAAAGUCCAGGAGAUGAAGAAGCGACCCAAAAAGGGACAACAAACAAGUCCAAGAGUGAUUUAUGUUGGCCAUCUUCCCACUGGGUUGUUUGAGCCUCAGCUCAAAUCCUACAUUGAACAGUUUGGAAAUGUUGUCAGGUUACAACUGGCCAGGAGUAAAAUGGAAAAAAAAACUUGGGAUCCAUUAUCUUGAAAAUGUAAGAGUGGAAUGUGUGUGUGAUGCACAGGUGUGAAGAAUGGCACCGUCUGAAAAUUACCUCAGAUGUAACAGUUGUCUGUGGUGAGAUAACUGUGCCGACAGUAUUGUGGUAAUCAGGUUCCUACUGAGGUGCAUGAGGAGUUGUUUGUGGGAUCACAGAGCGCUUUUAAGAAGCUGUAGCUCGCUACAACGAGACACACACCAGAGGAGGUCAAGGAGAUGACCGGACGACUCCUACAUAAAGAGGCCAAGCUCCGUAAAAGGCUGGCAGACAAGGGAAUCCACUACGACUUCCCAGGGUUUGCUUCUCAAGUGCAACAGAAGAAAAAUUUAGAUGACACUGUGAAUGCAUCCACGUGUAAUGAGACGUGACUCCAGUGUGAACCACCUCAGUUCUGGACAGGAGGAGGUCCAUGAAGAUCCAGGAUGAGGAUGGUGAAAUCAAGAAUACCCCCGCCCAAAAAAAGUCUAAAGGCAAAUGUAAAGAGAAAGGGGGAAACCUAGUCAGACUGUACAACUGAACGCAUUCAACUGAAUGCCUUCCGCAUUUAACCCCAACCCCUCUGAAUCAGAGAGGUGCGGGGUGCUGCUUUAAUCGAUAUCCGUGUCUUUGGCACCUGGGGAACAGCGGGUUAACUGCCUUGCUCUGGCAGAAUGACAGAUUUUUACCUUGUCUGCUCGGGAAUACGAUCGAGCAACCCAAGGAGCAGAGUCUGACUUAGAUUCCUCCUCUGAGGAAGAGGAGACUGAGGAGGAGUCCUUCCUAGAAGGGAGUGAGAAGCCCACAACGUGUGAAGAGCCCUCAGGGGACAAGAGCCAGUCAUAUAGGAAGGAGCAUAGUGAACGGAUGUCAACGCCUUGUUGUUUAAGGGACAAUGACUCAAUUGAAUUGCCUUGCUUGUAAAAAUGUAUCUGCUUUACAAGGUGGUUGGUCCUCUAUAUAAUUGCACAGAGGAGAAGGACUAGAGAGUCAAUGACUGUUUGACAGUGUUAGAGCCUAUGCACCUGUAUAGCACCUCCUAAAUUCCCAUAGCCAAGGCCUAAAAUUAACACCUGCCAAAUGUGGGUAGAUUUUGGUAUUUGCUGGUAAGAUGUUGAUUUCACCAGCCCAGUUGGGGGUGGUCAGGGCUCCACAGUGCAAGCAUUUCACUCGCAUUUGUGAAUAAAAAUAGUAGAAGUAUGAUGACAUUUAUAUAAAAUAAAUGCUGGAGUAGCUGUUUUCAAAUUA